RNAcentral lists this ribosomal RNA (802 nucleotides) under Haloarcula sp. 4TK3. RNAcentral's name for it is "bacterial SSU rRNA". It matches the Rfam family "Archaeal small subunit ribosomal RNA", at positions 123 to 924 of the family's 1478-position model. Lineage: Archaea; Methanobacteriati; Methanobacteriota; Halobacteria; Halobacteriales; Haloarculaceae. The record is from RNAcentral.
GCGAUAACCUCGGGAAACUGAGGCCAAUAGCGGAUAUAACUCUCAGGCUGGAGUGCCGAGAGUUAGAAACGUUCCGGCGCUGUAGGAUGUGGCUGCGGCCGAUUAGGUAGAUGGUGGGGUAACGGCCCACCAUGCCGAUAAUCGGUACAGGUUGUGAGAGCAAGAGCCUGGAGACGGUAUCUGAGACAAGAUACCGGGCCCUACGGGGCGCAGCAGGCGCGAAACCUUUACACUGCACGACAGUGCGAUAGGGGGACUCCGAGUGNGAGGGCAUAUAGCCCUCGCUUUUCUGUACCGUAAGGUGGUACANGAACAAGGACUGGGCAAGACCGGUGCCAGCCGCCGCGGUAAUACCGGCAGUCCAAGUGAUGGCCGAUAUUAUUGGGCCUAAAGCGUCCGUAGCCUGCUGUGUAAGUCCAUUGGGAAAUCGACCAGCUCAACUGGUCGNCGUCCGGUGGAAACUACACAGCUUGGGGCCGAGAGACUCAACGGGUACGUCCGGGGUAGGAGUGAAAUCCUGUAAUCCUGGACGGACCACCAAUGGGGAAACCACGUUGAGAGACCGGACCCGACNGUGAGGGACGAAAGCCAGGGUCUCGAACCGGAUUAGAUACCCGGGUAGUCCUGGCUGUAAACAAUGCUCGCUAGGUAUGUCACGCGCCAUGAGCACGUGAUGUGCCNUANUGAAGACGAUAAGCGAGCCGCCUGGGAAGUACGUCCGCAAGGAUGAAACUUAAAGGAAUUGGCGGGGGAGCACCACAACCGGAGGAGCCUGCGGUUUAAUUGGACUCAACGCCGGAAA